GCCGGUUUAGCUCAGCUGGUAGAGCAGCUGAUUUGUAAUCAGAAGGUCGCGGGUUCGAUUCCUGCAACCGGCG
RNAcentral lists this transfer RNA (73 nucleotides) under Paracoccus denitrificans PD1222. It matches the Rfam family "tRNA". From Rfam's summary of the family: Transfer RNA (tRNA) molecules are approximately 80 nucleotides in length. Their secondary structure includes four short double-helical elements and three loops (D, anti-codon, and T loops). Lineage: Bacteria; Pseudomonadati; Pseudomonadota; Alphaproteobacteria; Rhodobacterales; Paracoccaceae. The record is from Rfam by way of RNAcentral.